Molecule: ribosomal RNA, 461 nt
Filed under: uncultured bacterium
Lineage: Bacteria
Description: bacterial SSU rRNA
Rfam family: Bacterial small subunit ribosomal RNA
Source: RNAcentral
GGACCCGCACAAGCAGCGGAGCAUGUGGUUUAAUUCGAAGCAACGCGAAGAACCUUACCAGGACUUGACAUCCUACUGACAGGACCUUAACCGGUUCCUUCUUCGGACAGUAGAGACAGGUGGUGCAUGGUUGUCGUCAGCUCGUGUCGUGAGAUGUUGGGUUAAGUCCCGCAACGAGCGCAACCCUUGUCAUUAGUUGCCAUCAUUAAGUUGGGCACUCUAGUGAGACUGCCGGGGAUAACUCGGAGGAAGGUGGGGAUGACGUCAAAUCAUCAUGCCCCGUAUGUUCUGGGCUACACACGUGCUACAAUGGUCGGUACAAUAAGACGCAAUACCGUGAGGUGGAGCAAAUCUCAAAAACCGAUCCCAGUUCGGAUUGUAGGCUGCAACUCGCCUACAUGAAGUUGGAGUUGCUAGUAAUCGUGGAUCAGAAUGCCACGGUGAAUGCGUUCCCGGGUCUU